AAGACUAUAGACCUGCGGAGUACCUGCGGAGGGAUCAUUAGUGAACGCCCUCACGGGCUUAUAACUAUUCCAAACCUCUGUGAACCGUGCCCUUCGGGGCUAUUUUACAAACAUGGUGUAAUGAACGUCAUAUAUCAUAACAAAACAAAACUUUUAGCAACGGAUCUCU
RNAcentral lists this unclassified non-coding RNA (169 nucleotides) under soil metagenome. RNAcentral's name for it is "partial contains 5.8S ribosomal RNA, internal transcribed spacer 2, and large subunit ribosomal RNA". The record is from RNAcentral.